CCGAGUACUACACUCAUAACCCUUUGUGAACCUUUAUAACCUGUUGCUUCGGCGGCGCGGCCCUCGGGUCGUGCCCGCCGGUAUCAUCAGAAUCUCUGUUCGAACCCGACGAUACUUCUGAGUGUUCUAAGCGAACUGUUA
This 141-nucleotide unclassified non-coding RNA is filed under the name uncultured fungus. Its description in RNAcentral is "sequence contains ITS1, 5.8S rRNA gene". Lineage: Eukaryota; Fungi. The record is from RNAcentral.